This is a ribosomal RNA of Cebus imitator (Panamanian white-faced capuchin), 110 nucleotides long. Lineage: Eukaryota; Metazoa; Chordata; Mammalia; Primates; Cebidae. The record is from Ensembl.
GUCUACAGCCCUACCCCACUGAAUGCUCCUGAUCUUGUGAAGCUAAGCAGGGUCAGGCCUGGAUGGGACUUGGAUGAGAGAUCACCAGGAAAAACCGGGUGCUGUAGGAU